AUGCUCAGUCACAGAAAUUGUAAGAAAGCUCUACAGGUAAAGGUCCAACAGCGCCCUCUACUGGUGCAAAGAGUCAGGACAUGCUCAGUCACACUAAAAUGCAGAAGACCAGUCAGUGAGCAGACCGUGUGGAGCCGCAUGGACUUUCUGUGUGUUUCCCUAAUGAUGUGUGCAUUCUUGAGGAAAUACCGUACAUCAACGACUUCCUCAGCGGAAGGUGUUGCUCGAGCAUGCCCCGACGGCAGCAAGCCCCGACAGCAGCAUGCAUCGACGGCAGCAAGCCCCGACCGCAGCAAGCCCCGACAGCAGCAUGCAUCGACGGCAGCAAGCCCCGACCGCAGCAAGCCCCGACAGCAGCAUGCAUCGACGGCAGCAAGCCCCACCGCAGCAAGCCCCGACAGCAGCAUGCAUCGACGGCAGCAAACCCCGACGGCAGCACGCCCAACGCGCGCGCGGACUGCGAGGGCCCGUUCAUCACUGCUUGCAGUUUUAAUUAGGGCCCGAGCAGGGAACCUGCGAGGUCCCUAUUGUAAUUGUAAUGAUUAUUAUUAUUAUUAUUUUUUUUCCUUCUCACAAAAUGAUCGCAUUUUUCACUGCCUGAACAUACCCCAAAACUCACCAAACUUGGAAUAUAAGUCACACCUGGCGAAAAAUUUUAUAAUCUAUUGUCGUCCUGAAUUUCCACCACUAGGUGGCGCUGUUAUUAAGGAAAGCGCGUUUUGGCUAAUAACUCCCAUAUACUUUGUCGCACAUUCAAAAACCUUACAUCGACGCGUUCAGUGGAUUGUGCUGAAUCUCGUGGUAUAGGCCACGCCCAUUUCCGCCUACCGUUUUUUUUCGCUACGUCGCAAAAUGUCGAAAACCUACUUUUUCGAACUCCUCCCAGGCGAUUUCACCGAUUUGCACGAAACUUGGCACACAGCAUCUCUGGACCCUCCUGACAAAAAGUUAUUAAAGGAUUCUAAUUAAAAUAAAUAAUUUUGAAGUUAUUAAAUAACAACUUCCUGCAGAUUUGGUUACAAACAGGAAGUGUUGCAUAUCUCCACAUUGGUGUGGUCUAAUGACAUGAAACUCAGGAUACUACUUCCCCAUGAGCCCCUGAGGCCCUGUGCAAAAUUUUAGGCGAUGACCACAAGGUGGCGCUCUUUAAAUUGAUGUAUUUUAUAUCUCCACAACGGUGCAUCGGAAUAAGACGAAACUUGGUACAUUUAUUGUCAGUGCCCUCCUGAGGACAUCUGACAAAGGGUUUACCGAUCCACCACUAGGUGGCGCUCUGGCGUCACUUUAAUUGUAUAAUUGGCCCUGUGCCCACACCAUAACACUUAUGGAAAUGAAAUUCAUAGAGGUGCUAUAGAAUGGCCCCUGUGACUCACUCACCGAAAAUGACCACCAGGUGGCGCUAUUUUCAAUGCAAAAGCGUUUUUGGCUCAUAACUCCCACUUAAUAUGUUGCACAUUAUUAAUCCUCAUAUUUGUGUAUUCCCUGAAUUUAGCUGAAUUGUUUGGUGUAGGCCACGCCCACUUUUGCAGUAACUUUCCGUUCGCAAAAUCGCGACAAAUGAAAAACGUACUUUUUCGAACUCCUCCUAGAGAAUUUGACCAAUUUGCACCAAACUUUGCAUGUAGCAUCUGUAGACCCUCCUGACAAAAAGUUAUCAAAAGAAUUUUGAUAGUCCAUAAACUGCCCGAAAAUAUAAAAUGACAAAUUCCUGCAUAUUGUGUUGAAAACAGUACAAUCUUGCAUAUCUUUACAAAAUACUGUCUGAUUAUCACAUAAAUACUUUCAUAUUGUGUGGUAUGGCCUAUUGAUGAGGCUUUGUGUAAAAUUUGGUGCAAAUCGGCCCUUAGAUGGCGCUCUGGUCGCAGUCUAAUCAUUUUGAAUGGAAAGUAAAUGGGGAAAUCUUCAAGUCCUCUUCAAAACUCAUCGACCUUCAACCUCUCCUUAUCCCUCAUACUUUGAGCUAGACACACCAUUCUAACUUUUAAAGAGUCAGAAGACCUCAAAUUAUUGGGCAUGUAUUCAGUUUUUAAAGCACACGUUAGCCACACCUGGCCUGCUAUCAUCAUCAACAGCGUCAGCAACAGAGUUUUGUCCAGUGUUAGUUGUGUAGAAGCGUGUGCCUUUUAGAGAUGCUUCAUUAGAUCAGAGUUGCUUACAAUGGACGUGGACAAAUUAGAUUAAAACAGUGUCUGUACUUCCACUUUGUAAACAUCAACUUUCCCUCCGGACUCGCCAUAGCCGCAGUUCCCCUCUACUAGUUUGAGUGUGUGAGGCUGGUGUGUGUGUGUGUGGCUUGUUUGGACACCGAACAUUGCCACUGAUUGGCUUAAGAACUCUCACUCAAUGUUAGGGAGCCAAUCAUCAUCACUUAUGCGGUUGUCUCGCUCCUCCCUCCUCCCUCACCGGAGGAAAAAAAAAUUCAGACCAUCGACUCAGUCUUUGUCUGGGGAAUUAUGCAGCAGUUCACACAAUUUUUCUGACUUCAGCGUACAUUAUUCACACCGACAAUAGCAGGCCACCGAAUUAUAAAGCAACGACUUCGUCAGCGGAAGGUGUUGCUCGAGCAUGCCCCGACGGCAGCAAGCCCCGACGGCAGCAUGCACCGACGGCAGCAAGCCCCGACGGCAGCAAGCCCCGACGGCAGGAUGCAUCGACGGCAGCACGCCCCGACGCGCGUGGACUGCGAGGGCCCGUUCAACGCUGCUUGCAGCUUUAAUUAGGGCCCGAGCAGGGAACCUGCAAGGACC
This 2747-nucleotide long non-coding RNA is filed under the name Sparus aurata (gilthead seabream). Its description in RNAcentral is "lncRNA (ENSSAUG00010021227.1)". The record is from RNAcentral. Lineage: Eukaryota; Metazoa; Chordata; Actinopteri; Spariformes; Sparidae.